RNAcentral lists this ribosomal RNA (2122 nucleotides) under Salmonella enterica. RNAcentral's name for it is "partial 23S ribosomal RNA". It matches the Rfam family "Bacterial large subunit ribosomal RNA", at positions 711 to 2813 of the family's 2925-position model. The record is from RNAcentral. Lineage: Bacteria; Pseudomonadati; Pseudomonadota; Gammaproteobacteria; Enterobacterales; Enterobacteriaceae.
AGACCCGAAACCCGGUGAUCUAGCCAUGGGCAGGUUGAAGGUUGGGUAACACUAACUGGAGGACCGAACCGACUAAUGUUGAAAAAUUAGCGGAUGACCUGUGGCUGGGGGUGAAAGGCCAAUCAAACCGGGAGAUAGCUGGUUCUCCCCGAAAGCUAUUUAGGUAGCGCCUCGUGAAUUCAUCUCCGGGGGUAGAGCACUGUUUCGGCUAGGGGGCCAUCCCGGCUUACCAACCCGAUGCAAACUGCGAAUACCGGAGAAUGUUAUCACGGGAGACACACGGCGGGUGCUAACGUCCGUCGUGAAGAGGGAAACAACCCAGACCGCCAGCUAAGGUCCCAAAGUCAUGGUUAAGUGGGAAACGAUGUGGGAAGGCCCAGACAGCCAGGAUGUUGGCUUAGAAGCAGCCAUCAUUUAAAGAAAGCGUAAUAGCUCACUGGUCGAGUCGGCCUGCGCGGAAGAUGUAACGGGGCUAAACCAUGCACCGAAGCUGCGGCAGCGACGCUGAUGCGUUGUUGGGUAGGGGAGCGUUCUGUAAGCCUGUGAAGGUGGCCUGUGAGGGUUGCUGGAGGUAUCAGAAGUGCGAAUGCUGACAUAAGUAACGAUAAAGCGGGUGAAAAGCCCGCUCGCCGGAAGACCAAGGGUUCCUGUCCAACGUUAAUCGGGGCAGGGUGAGUCGACCCCUAAGGCGAGGCCGAAAGGCGUAGUCGAUGGGAAACGGGUUAAUAUUCCCGUACUUGGUGUUACUGCGAAGGGGGGACGGAGAAGGCUAUGUUGGCCGGGCGACGGUUGUCCCGGUUUAAGCGUGUAGGUGUGUGUUCCAGGUAAAUCCGGUUCACUUUAACACUGAGGCGUGAUGACGAGGCACUACGGUGCUGAAGCAACAAAUGCCCUGCUUCCAGGAAAAGCCUCUAAGCAUCAGGUAACAUCAAAUCGUACCCCAAACCGACACAGGUGGUCAGGUAGAGAAUACCAAGGCGCUUGAGAGAACUCGGGUGAAGGAACUAGGCAAAAUGGUGCCGUAACUUCGGGAGAAGGCACGCUGACACGUAGGUGAAGUGAUUUACUCAUGGAGCUGAAGUCAGUCGAAGAUACCAGCUGGCUGCAACUGUUUAUUAAAAACACAGCACUGUGCAAACACGAAAGUGGACGUAUACGGUGUGACGCCUGCCCGGUGCCGGAAGGUUAAUUGAUGGGGUCAGCGCAAGCGAAGCUCCUGAUCGAAGCCCCGGUAAACGGCGGCCGUAACUAUAACGGUCCUAAGGUAGCGAAAUUCCUUGUCGGGUAAGUUCCGACCUGCACGAAUGGCGUAAUGAUGGCCAGGCUGUCUCCACCCGAGACUCAGUGAAAUUGAACUCGCUGUGAAGAUGCAGUGUACCCGCGGCAAGACGGAAAGACCCCGUGAACCUUUACUAUAGCUUGACACUGAACAUUGAGCCUUGAUGUGUAGGAUAGGUGGGAGGCUUUGAAGUGUGGACGCCAGUCUGCAUGGAGCCGGCCUUGAAAUACCACCCUUUAAUGUUUGAUGUUCUAACGUGGACCCGUGAUCCGGGUUGCGGACAGUGUCUGGUGGGUAGUUUGACUGGGGCGGUCUCCUCCUAAAGAGUAACGGAGGAGCACGAAGGUUGGCUAAUCCUGGUCGGACAUCAGGAGGUUAGUGCAAUGGCAUAAGCCAGCUUGACUGCGAGCGUGACGGCGCGAGCAGGUGCGAAAGCAGGUCAUAGUGAUCCGGUGGUUCUGAAUGGAAGGGCCAUCGCUCAACGGAUAAAAGGUACUCCGGGGAUAACAGGCUGAUACCGCCCAAGAGUUCAUAUCGACGGCGGUGUUUGGCACCUCGAUGUCGGCUCAUCACAUCCUGGGGCUGAAGUAGGUCCCAAGGGUAUGGCUGUUCGCCAUUUAAAGUGGUACGCGAGCUGGGUUUAGAACGUCGUGAGACAGUUCGGUCCCUAUCUGCCGUGGGCGCUGGAGAACUGAGGGGGGCUGCUCCUAGUACGAGAGGACCGGAGUGGACGCAUCACUGGUGUUCGGGUUGUCAUGCCAAUGGCACUGCCCGGUAGCUAAAUGCGGAAGAGAUAAGUGCUGAAAGCAUCUAAGCACGAAACUUGCCCCGAGAUGAGUUCUC